This 492-nucleotide ribosomal RNA is filed under the name uncultured bacterium. RNAcentral's name for it is "partial 16S ribosomal RNA". It matches the Rfam family "Bacterial small subunit ribosomal RNA", at positions 29 to 507 of the family's 1533-position model. The record is from RNAcentral.
AGUGAACGCUGGCGGUAGGCCUAACACAUGCAAGUCGAACGGCAGCACAGUAAGAGCUUGCUCUUACGGGUGGCGAGUGGCGGACGGGUGAGGAAUACAUCGGAAUCUACUUUUUCGUGGGGGAUAACGUAGGGAAACUUACGCUAAUACCGCAUACGACCUACGGGUGAAAGCAGGGGAUCUUCGGACCUUGCGCGAUUGAAUGAGCCGAUGUCGGAUUAGCUAGUUGGCGGGGUAAAGGCCCACCAAGGCGACGAUCCGUAGCUGGUCUGAGGGGAUGAUCGGCCACACUGGAACUGAGACACGGUCCAGACUCCUACGGGAGGCAGCAGUGGGGAAUAUUGGACAAUGGGCGCAAGCCUGAUCCAGCCAUACCGCGUGGGUGAAGAAGGCCUUCGGGUUGUAAAGCCCUUUUGUUGGGAAAGAAAAGCAGCAGGUUAAUACCCCGCUGUUCUGACGGUACCCAAAGAAUAAGCACCGGCUAACUUCGUG